Molecule: ribosomal RNA, 275 nt
Filed under: uncultured bacterium
Lineage: Bacteria
Description: partial 16S ribosomal RNA
Rfam family: Bacterial small subunit ribosomal RNA
Source: RNAcentral
CCUACGGGUGGCUGCAGUUAGGAAUCUUGGGCAAUGGGCGAAAGCCUGACCCAGCCAUGCCGCGUGAAUGAUGAAGGUCCUAGGAUUGUAAAAUUCUUUCACCGGGGAAGAUAAUGACGGUACCCGGAGAAGAAGCUCCGGCUAACUUCGUGCCAGCAGCCGCGGUAAUACGAAGGGGGCUAGCGUUGCUCGGAAUUACUGGGCGUAAAGGGCGCGUAGGCGGACGACUAAGUUGGGGGUGAAAUCCCAGGGCUCAACCCUGGAACUGCCUCCAA